This 51-nucleotide transfer RNA is filed under the name Salmonella enterica subsp. enterica serovar Rubislaw str. A4-653. RNAcentral's name for it is "partial tRNA-OTHER". It matches the Rfam family "tRNA", at positions 1 to 49 of the family's 71-position model. Rfam says of the family: Transfer RNA (tRNA) molecules are approximately 80 nucleotides in length. Their secondary structure includes four short double-helical elements and three loops (D, anti-codon, and T loops). The record is from RNAcentral. Lineage: Bacteria; Pseudomonadati; Pseudomonadota; Gammaproteobacteria; Enterobacterales; Enterobacteriaceae.
GCCCGGAUAGCUCAGUCGGUAGAGCAGGGGAUUGAAAAUCCCCGUGUCCUU